UGUCCUCUUGGGGCUAUGCAGAAAUGUUCAUGUUGAUGAAACAAGCUGUCCUAGAAUGGCAGUUCCCGGGCAGCAGAGCCUGGGCUCAAGGAAGGUGGAAAGAUGGGGUGGCGAGGAGCUGCCAGGUGCAAAUGUCAGGCCAGCAAUGCAGUCCAGCUUGCAUGGACGUGCAUCACCUAGGAAGUUGUGACUUGGCUGCAGUUUCCACUUCAG
RNAcentral lists this long non-coding RNA (213 nucleotides) under Pongo abelii (Sumatran orangutan). RNAcentral describes it as "lincRNA". The record is from RNAcentral. Lineage: Eukaryota; Metazoa; Chordata; Mammalia; Primates; Hominidae.